UCUGGUAGCGAUAGCGGAGAGGUCACACCUGUUCCCAUGCCGAACACAGUAGUUAAGCUCUCCAGCGCCGAUGGUAGUUGGGGUCUAACCCCUGCAAGAGUAGGACGCCGCCAGGC
This 116-nucleotide ribosomal RNA is filed under the name Lentibacillus persicus. Lineage: Bacteria; Bacillati; Bacillota; Bacilli; Caryophanales; Bacillaceae. The record is from RNAcentral.